AUAAUCUAAUAUUUUUAUUAUUACCAACAGUUACAAUAACUCAAAUGCAGUUUAUCUUUUCUUCUCAUAUUCAAAAUAAUUAUUGUUUUUAAGAAUCAUUUCACUGGAUAUCUCAAUUAAGGACUUUUUUUUGGCCCACUAAAUGAUGAUCUUGUUGGAUCGCUGGCACUAACCGCCAAUCUCAAAAGCUCAGAUUAUUAGAAAUGCGCAACUAAUUCACUUAAAACGUAUAGGCACGAUACCUACAAGACUCGAUUAUGACUCGUUCUGACCAACCUCAAGCCAUUUCGAACAUAAUUCGACCUAACCUAGUUUCACGCCAUUCCGAACGUGGCUUGACUCAACCUAACCUCCCACCAGGCAAAAUACUGGCACAUUUAAGCCAAAAAAUUAUUCGAUUUAUGUCACUUUUUUAUAUAUUUAAUUUUUCACUGGAUUACACAAUAC
RNAcentral lists this long non-coding RNA (447 nucleotides) under Ananas comosus (pineapple). Its description in RNAcentral is "long non-coding RNA (ACOM_LNC021683)". Lineage: Eukaryota; Viridiplantae; Streptophyta; Magnoliopsida; Poales; Bromeliaceae. The record is from RNAcentral.